This 335-nucleotide long non-coding RNA is filed under the name Helianthus annuus (common sunflower). Its description in RNAcentral is "sRNA HanXRQr2_Chr12g0527191". The record is from RNAcentral. Lineage: Eukaryota; Viridiplantae; Streptophyta; Magnoliopsida; Asterales; Asteraceae.
UUCUCCAUAGCAAAGAGCCCCUCACUAAACAACAAAUUGACAAUUUUGUAGAAGAUACAUUGAAGAACUUUAUGAUAACUUUGGGAAGAGAAUGAGACAUGGAAAUGUUCCCGUAUCAGUGAUCACGUUUUUGUUUUUACAGGUAGGUUGCUAGGUUACCAGGUUGCCGGUUUUUAGAUGUGGAUCUUCUUCGACUAAGUUAGAGGUUGUUUACAAGCUCAAAUCCUACUGAAGUUUGAUGUUGCAGGAUUCAGGACAAAGCAGUUUAGUUUGGAUGAAUAUCAGUGAAUUAUGACUUGUGUUUUGUUGACAUUUAGUGAAUUAUGACUUGUGUU